This 399-nucleotide ribosomal RNA is filed under the name uncultured bacterium. RNAcentral's name for it is "partial 16S ribosomal RNA". It matches the Rfam family "Bacterial small subunit ribosomal RNA", at positions 338 to 734 of the family's 1533-position model. The record is from RNAcentral.
CCUACGGGAGGCAGCAGUGAGGAAUAUUGGUCAAUGGGCGGAAGCCUGAACCAGCCAAGUAGCGUGAAGGAUGACGGCCCUACGGGUUGUAAACUUCUUUUAUAAGGGAAUAAAGUGAGUCACGUGUACCUUUUUGCAUGUACUGUAUGAAUAAGGAUCGGCUAACUCCGUGCCAGCAGCCGCGGUAAUACGGAGGAUCCGGGCGUUAUCCGGAUUUAUUGGGUUUAAAGGGAGCGUAGAUGGGUUGUUAAGUCAGUUGUGAAAGUUUGGGGCUCAACCGGAAAAUUGCAGUUGAUACUGGCAGGCUUGAGUACAGGUGAGGUAGGCGGAAUUCGUGGUGUAGCGGUGAAAUGCUUAGAUAUCACGAAGAACUCCGAUUGCGAAGGCAGCUUACUAAAC